RNAcentral lists this ribosomal RNA (450 nucleotides) under uncultured Glomus. RNAcentral describes it as "SSU rRNA". It matches the Rfam family "Eukaryotic small subunit ribosomal RNA", at positions 569 to 1023 of the family's 1831-position model. The record is from RNAcentral. Lineage: Eukaryota; Fungi; Glomeromycota; Glomeromycetes; Glomerales; Glomeraceae.
AGCAGCCGCGGUAAUUCCAGCUCCAAUAGCGUAUAUUAAGGUUGUUGCAGUUAAAAAGCUCGUAGUUGAAUUUCGGGGUUAGUAGGUUGGUCAUGCCUCUGGUAUGUACUGGUCUCACUGAUUCCUCCUUCCUUAUGAACCGUAAUGCCAUUAAUUUGGUGUUGCGGGAAAUUUGGACUGUUACUUUGAAAAAUUAGAGUAGUUUAAAGCAAGCUAACGCUUGAAUACAUUAGCAUGGAAUAAUGAAAUAGGACGUUCGAUCUUAUUUUGUUGGCUUCUAGGAUUGACGUAAUGAUUAAUAGGGAUAGUUGGGGGCAUUAGUAUUCAAUUGUCAGAGGUGAAAUUCUUGGAUUUAUUGAAGACUAACUACUGCGAAAGCAUUUGCCAAGGAUGUUUUCAUUAAUCAAGAACGAAAGUUAGGGGAUCGAAGACGAUCAGAUACCGUCGUAG